GUAGGUGGCAAGCGUUGUCCGGAAUUAUUGGGCGUAAAGCGCGCGCAGGCGGUUCUUUAAGUCUGAUGUGAAAGCCCACGGCUCAACCGUGGAGGGUCAUUGGAAACUGGAGAACUUGAGUACAGAAGAGGAAAGCGGAAUUCCACGUGUAGCGGUGAAAUGCGUAGAGAUGUGGAGGAACACCAGUGGCGAAGGCGGCUUUCUGGUCUGUAACUGACGCUGAGGCGCGAAAGCGUGGGGGAGCAAACAGGAUUAGAUACCCUGGUAGUCCACGCCGUAAACGAUGAGUGCUAAGUGUUAGGGGGUUUCCGCCCCUUAGUGCUGCAGCUAACGCAUUAAGCACUCCCGCCUGGGAGUACGGCCACAAGGCUG
Molecule: ribosomal RNA, 372 nt
Filed under: uncultured organism
Description: partial 16S ribosomal RNA
Rfam family: Bacterial small subunit ribosomal RNA
Source: RNAcentral